RNAcentral lists this ribosomal RNA (354 nucleotides) under Triticum aestivum (bread wheat). RNAcentral describes it as "partial small subunit ribosomal RNA". Lineage: Eukaryota; Viridiplantae; Streptophyta; Magnoliopsida; Poales; Poaceae. The record is from RNAcentral.
AUGGAGCCACGGAUGAAACUGAGCAAGGAGAGCUCUAACCCACCAGUGGACAGGAAACUCUACCGCAGCAUUGUGGGUAGCCUUCGCUAUCUGGUGCACUCGCAACCGGACAUCUCCUACGCGGUUGGUUUCAUCAGCAGGUUCAUGGAAGAGCCCACGACAGAACACUGGGCGGCGGUGAAACAGGUGCUGAGGUACGUUGCAGGCACCCUGAAAUUUGGGUGCAGAUACAAGAAAGGAGAAGUGGAACCACAGCUGGUUGGGUACAGUGACGCAAACUUCGUCGGAGAUGUUGAUGACAGAAAGAGCACAUCUGGGACUGUGUUCACCUUCGGGGGGAGCGCGAUCAGUUAG